This 85-nucleotide transfer RNA is filed under the name Felis catus (domestic cat). It matches the Rfam family "tRNA". Rfam says of the family: Transfer RNA (tRNA) molecules are approximately 80 nucleotides in length. RNAcentral also lists the same sequence under 2 other names. The record is from Rfam by way of RNAcentral. Lineage: Eukaryota; Metazoa; Chordata; Mammalia; Carnivora; Felidae.
GCCUGGGUGGUUCAGUUGGUUGAGCAUCUGACUUCUGCUCAGGUCAUGAUCUCACAGCUUAUGGGUUCAAGCCCCACAUCAGGCC